Molecule: ribosomal RNA, 572 nt
Filed under: Cyphoderris monstrosa
Lineage: Eukaryota; Metazoa; Arthropoda; Insecta; Orthoptera; Prophalangopsidae
Description: SSU rRNA
Rfam family: Eukaryotic small subunit ribosomal RNA
Source: RNAcentral
CAGUAGUCAUAUGCUUGUCUCAAAGAUUAAGCCAUGCAUGUCUCAGUGCAAGCCACAUUAAGGUGAAACCGCGAAUGGCUCAUUAAAUCAGUUAUGGUUCCUUAGAUCGUACCCACGUUACUUGGAUAACUGUGGUAAUUCUAGAGCUAAUACAUGCAAACUGAGUCCCGACCAGAAAUGGAAGGGACGCUUUUAUUAGAUCAAAACCAAUCGGUCGGCUCGUCCGGUCCGUUUGCCUUGGUGACUCUGAAUAACUUUGGGCUGAUCGCACGGUCCUAGUACCGGCGACGCAUCUUUCAAAUGUCUGCCUUAUCAACUGUCGAUGGUAGGUUCUGCGCCUACCAUGGUUGUAACGGGUAACGGGGAAUCAGGGUUCGAUUCCGGAGAGGGAGCCUGAGAAACGGCUACCACAUCCAAGGAAGGCAGCAGGCGCGCAAAUUACCCACUCCCGGCACGGGGAGGUAGUGACGAAAAAUAACGAUACGGGACUCAUCCGAGGCCCCGUAAUCGGAAUGAGUACACUUUAAAUCCUUUAACGAGUAUCCAUUGGAGGGCAAGUCUGGUGCCAGCAG